Molecule: ribosomal RNA, 1162 nt
Filed under: Lanthanaphalara mira
Lineage: Eukaryota; Metazoa; Arthropoda; Insecta; Hemiptera; Aphalaridae
Description: 16S ribosomal RNA
Source: RNAcentral
AAUAUAGGGAUUUGAUUAAAUCAGAUAGCAAACUAAAAAUUCUAUUAUUCAGUUUUAUUAUUACGUUUAUUUUUUACUGUAAGGGAGAAUAUAAAUUUUUUAGUAUAAAAUAAAUUAUUUGUACCUUUUGUAUCAGGAUCUAUGGAUAUAUUUUACUUACUUAGGUUUCUUGAAAUAAAAAUAUUUAUACUUUAUAUUUAAUUUAUUGUUGCAUAAUUAAUUUUAAUAUAAGUGUGGGUUUGAUAUGAAUUUAAGUUUUUAAUAUCUAGUUAUUUAGAAAAUUAAUUAAAUUAAUUUAAAUUUUGCGUUAUUUGUAUUUAAUAAAAAAAUUAUUAGGGGUAAUUUUUAAUAAUUAUAAAUAACAAAAUUAUUGUUUUUAUUUUAUAGGUUUGAAAAUAUUUAUUUUUAGUUUUUAAUAAUUACUUAAAAGUUAAUUUAAUUUAUUUUAAAUUGUUUUUUUUCAUACUAAAUAUGUAUUUUAACUAACUUUUUUUGAUUAAAAUCAUUGAAUUAGUAAAUUCAAAAAAUUUAUUUUAUGAAUUCGGCAAAAAUUAUUUUCGCUUGUUUACCAAAAACAUGUUUGAUAGGUAUAUAUUUUUGGUUUUCCCUGCUCAAUGCUUAACGUAAAUAGCUGCAGUAUUUUGACUGUACAAAGGUAGCAUAAUCAUUAGUUUUUUAAUUGAAAGCUUGAAUGAAUGGGAGGACGUAAAAUAAACUUUAUUAAUUUAAAUUUUAAUUGAAUUUUAUUUUUAAGUUAAAAAGCUUAAAUUAUUCAGAGGGACGAGAAGACCCUAUAGAAUUUAAAAAGUUUAAUUUUUUUUGUUGGGGUAACAAGAAACAAACUUUUCUAUUUUUUUUAUUUAUAAAUAAUUAUUAGAUCCUGAUUUUCAGAUUUUAAGAAAAAAUUACCUUAGGGAUAACAGCAUAAUUUUUUUAAAAAGAUCUUAUUAAUAAAAAAGAUUAUGACCUCGAUGUUGAAUUAAAAUUUUAUUAGGCGCAAAAGUUUAAUAUAUUUAGUCUGUUCGACUUUAAAUUUUUACAUGAUUUGAGUUCAGACCGGCGUAAGCCAGGUUGGUUUCUAUCUUUUGGUUUAAAAUUUGUUUUAGUACGAAAGGAUUAAGCAUAUUUAUUAAGAUUAUUGUUAUAGAAUUAAAUUAAAAUA